Homarus americanus (American lobster) is the source of this 3597-nucleotide long non-coding RNA. RefSeq lists it as uncharacterized. The record is from RefSeq and is a predicted model, not a curated record. Lineage: Eukaryota; Metazoa; Arthropoda; Malacostraca; Decapoda; Nephropidae. The transcript has 2 exons.
UACAGUAUAUAUAUUAUUGUCUCUGGCAUUUAUACAUGUAUGAUUAUAUAUAUAUAUUAGGAACAUAGUAUUUGCCAGUAAUUCUUGAAGAGUCGAGUAGAUGAAUUACAUAUAUUAACUCUGUCCUUUACGAGGUCUUAUAAAACAUCUGACCAUUCUCCUUCUUACCCCCCCCCCUCACCCCCAAGUGAAAGUAUUUUGAAAGAUUAUUUAACACAAACAGCAAUUUCUCAUCCAUUACAGGGAUUCACCAUAUUGUUUAUUACUGAAAUUACUUAGAAACUAACGCAGAAUGACUAUACUUACAUGUGAUAUUGGAGAGGUUUCGACAAUGCUGUGAUAGUGCAACGACGUAUCUCAGGCGAAUGUGUGGCAGUGAUGGUCACCCAGAUGUGGUACACUUAGACUACUGGUUGAUUGUGUAACAUGAUGUGGUACACUUAGACUACUGGUUGAUUGUGUAACAUGAUGUGGUACACUUAGACUACUGGUUGGUUGUGUAACAUGAUGUGGUACACUUAGACUACUGGUUGAUUGUGUAACAUGAUGUGGUACACUUAGACUACUGGUUGAUUGUGUAACAUGAUGUGGUACACUUAGACUACUGGUUGAUUGUGUAACAUGAUGUGGUACACUUAGACUACUGGUUGGUUGUGUAACAUGAUGUGGUACACUUAGACUACUGGUUGAUUGUGUAACAUGAUGUGGUACACUUAGACUACUGGUUGGUUGUGUAACAUGAUGUGGUACACUUAGACUACUGGUUGAUUGUGUAACAUGAUGUGGUACACUUAGACUACUGGUUGGUUGUGUAACUGACAUGAUGUUACACUGGAACUGAUAUCAAGUGACAUCACCAGGUGGCAGUACAGUACCAUCAAUAGUACCAAGUGACAUCACCAGGCGGAGUCAUUGGUCUACCUCAGAGAACACAUGAAUCGCCAGACAUUAAUAAUGAGAAGGAGAAUAAUAAAAGUAAUAUAAACUAUUGAAGUAAAUAAACAUCAAAUGAAUGUUUUACUAAAUCAUUAUUACAUCAACAUGGAGCAUUGCCUGAUGUAUUGAUUUUUAAAAGCCUGGAAUAUUACAGGAUUGUCGGCACCCUUGUUUAGUUGUUAAAGGUUACAGUACAGUGUAUAUAUUUAUUUGAGUAUUACCAAUGCUUCAGGAGUGUACAUUUACAGAAAGGAUUUAAGAGACACCACAAACGAUAAUUGAAUAUUAAUUAAUGAAAAUAACUUGUGUUGUAACUGUGAUAGCUUACUCAUUUCUUAGAGGAAAUAUAAAUUUUCUGCGAAGCAUCGGUGGAGAAGUGUGUUUUGUCUGUAAAAAAAUUAGUCCCUCCAUCACAUAGGCUAAUGUCUUGAAAACAUUUCUUUUGUUUUGGCAUAUGGUGGACAAUUGGUGGUUUUACAUUAUUACACAAUAUGUUAUUUUCUCAGGUGAAUGGCUUAGAUUAUUGUACUACUGUGUCUUGGUAACAGAAAAUAGAGAAAUAAGAGAAAUGCCAUAAAAAAAAGAUAUGAUUUUUGAGAUAUACUACACAUCAGUCAAUGAGUACUUUUGACCGGAAUGAACGAUACAGCAGAAUAUUUUUAUAUAUAUAUAUUUUGUAUUAUUAUUAUUAUUAUUAUUAUUUUUUAUUAUUCAGAGUUGGUCAGUCAGUACACAUUCGAUCGAAGUCCAAAAAAAAUGGUUAAAGAAUUAUUUUUUUUUAACCAGAACCAGUGCUCUUGGUUAGUGGUUAAAUAAGGUAAAGAGGUGGAUGGCUGCCACCCUCACACCAGCUUGUUAUCUCAUGUUCGUGUACCCAUAAUGUCAUCCCUUUACCCACAUACUGUACUAGUAAUCUCCCAUUGUAUAGAUGCAGACACCUCAUUUAGCAGAAAUUCAUGUAUAGUUGUAGUUUAGACGACCUAGAAAUAAGUGUAAGGAUUCAGGAUUGCUUAAUUUAAAACUAAAGCGUCGGUUCUCAAAAAAAUAUUGUUAAGGCUCACUGAUGAAAAUUCCUGCUGUAGUCAUGCAUCAGCUAAGACAGAAUACUUUUUGAGAUUCUGUGUAAGUAUUGUCAGACUUCAAGCAGUGUGUGUGUGUGUGUGUGUGUGUGUGUGUGUGUGUGUGUGUGUGUGUGUGUGCAUCAAUAGCAUUCAUAAUUCUGGGUCUUAGUGUCAAGAAUGGGACAUACAAAGAGCAUUUAAUGGAUCCCACUUCUUAUGGUUAGAUCCUAUUGGAAUCAAGAGCCGUAGUACCCUAACAUAAUCUCCCAUACUAACAUGAGUAGCCUGAUUAUAACAUAGAGUAAAAGAAAAGCAGCUUAUAUCAGUCAACUGCAAUCCUGAAUAUUUGUUAACUUGUAAUUAAAAGGUGUCAGAUAGUAAAUAGUGUACUGCUGGUGUCAUAUAUCGUAAUUUGUGUCUUCUAGGUGUCAUACAUGGUAAUUUGUGUCUUGUAGGUGUCAUACAUGGUAAUUUGUGUCUUGUAGGUGUCAUAUGUGGUAAUUUGUGUCUUGUAGGUGUCAUACGUGGUAAUUUGUGUCUUGUAGGUGUCAUACGUGGUAAUUUGUGUCUUGUAGGUGUCAUACGUGGUAAUUUGUGUCUUGUAGGUGUCAUACAUGGUAAUUUGUGUCUUGUAGGUGUCAUACAUGGUAAUUUGUGUCUUGUAGGUGUCAUACGUGGUAAUUUGUGUCUUGUAGGUGUCAUACAUGGUAAUUUGUGUCUUGUAGAUGUCAUACGUGGUAAUUUGUGUCUUGUAGGUGUCAUACAUGGUAAUUUUUAUGUCCCAUUGGUGUCAUACAUGAUAAUUAAUGUAUUAGACGUGUCAAAUGUGGUGAUUGGUGUUUUAGUUGUGUCAUAAGUUAAAGUUAUCAUGUUUAAUAUACAGUCAGUGUAUUACAGGUGACACUCAUGAUCAAUGGAGUUAGAAAAGUUGAUAGAGAUGGAAACUUGACCUAAAAUUCAUCACAUAUAAUGUUAAUCGAUUGAACUUCAUGAUUUUUUAGUGAGUGUGGAUGAUUGCAUGACCCACAUAUACUACCUUGAAAUUGUUUUAUGAUUAUUGUGAGGAAAUAUCACGACGAAUUUGUGGUCAUCAUUUAUCAGUAUGGAGAUUAAGAUAUAAUACUCAAUUACAGUAUGGUACAGUAGUGUCAUCAACUCACUCGCUGCUGUAUCAGUUGAUUAAAUGGAUGAAGUUCUACAUACAUGGGCCAGACACCUUCAGACCUUCAGCCAAGAUAAGUAUAAGUUAGUAUACAAGAGGUGUGUUGCAGCCAUCACUACCAAAGUUGUGUCUGUUCUGCCAAGAGCACUGGAGAAGGAUCACCGUGGGUUAUACGAAUUAAUCCAUGGGACUACCUUAGUUACCCCUGCCAAAAAUAUUGUGCUUUUAUACAUACAGUAAGUCCUCUUCCAACGCAUCUUUCGAGGAACCUCACCCAAGCGUUGGUGGAGGGGUGACUGUAUCUAUAUAUAAAAUGCACUCACAUACAUUUCUCUUCCAUAUUUUUAAAAGUGGUGGUGAAUUCAUGUAAAUAUUUUUAAUUUCCAUUAUAUUUUAUACAAAAAAUCCAUGUAAGGAAUUAAAUAAAUUCCCAUUGUG